GGGCUAUGAUGUAGGCACUUCCUCAAUUGGCACUUGAAUCUCUCCCAAGCUUUAUACAAACUCUCUUGAUCAUGGUGGGCAAAAGUCAUUAUCUCAUUGCGAAGCUU
This 107-nucleotide small nucleolar RNA is filed under the name Jatropha curcas. RNAcentral describes it as "Plant small nucleolar RNA R71". It matches the Rfam family "Plant small nucleolar RNA R71". Rfam says of the family: R71 is a member of the C/D box family of snoRNAs containing the C (UGAUGA) and D (CUGA) box motifs. The record is from Rfam by way of RNAcentral. Lineage: Eukaryota; Viridiplantae; Streptophyta; Magnoliopsida; Malpighiales; Euphorbiaceae.